RNAcentral lists this ribosomal RNA (1446 nucleotides) under uncultured organism. RNAcentral's name for it is "SSU rRNA". It matches the Rfam family "Bacterial small subunit ribosomal RNA". The record is from RNAcentral.
CGCUAGCUACAGGCUUAACACAUGCAAGUCGAGGGGCAUCAGGAAGAAAGCUUGCUUUCUUUGCUGGCGACCGGCGCACGGGUGAGUAACACGUAUCCAACCUGCCCUUUACUCGGGGAUAGCCUUUCGAAAGAAAGAUUAAUACCCGAUAGCAUAAUGAUUCCGCAUGGUUUCAUUAUUAAAGGAUUCCGGUAAAGGAUGGGGAUGCGUUCCAUUAGGUUGUUGGUGAGGUAACGGCUCACCAAGCCUUCGAUGGAUAGGGGUUCUGAGAGGAAGGUCCCCCACAUUGGAACUGAGACACGGUCCAAACUCCUACGGGAGGCAGCAGUGAGGAAUAUUGGUCAAUGGGCGCUAGCCUGAACCAGCCAAGUAGCGUGAAGGAUGAAGGCUCUAUGGGUCGUAAACUUCUUUUAUAUAAGAAUAAAGUGCAGUAUGUAUACUGUUUUGUAUGUAUUAUAUGAAUAAGGAUCGGCUAACUCCGUGCCAGCAGCCGCGGUAAUACGGAGGAUCCGAGCGUUAUCCGGAUUUAUUGGGUUUGAAGGGAGCGUAGGUGGACUGGUAAGUCAGUUGUGAAAGUUUGCGGCUCAACCGUAAAAUUGCAGUUGAUACUGUCAGUCUUGAGUACAGUAGAGGUGGGCGGAAUUCGUGGUGUAGCGGUGAAAUGCUUAGAUAUCACGAAGAACUCCGAUUGCGAAGGCAGCUCACUGGACUGCAACUGACACUGAUGCUCGAAAGUGUGGGUAUCAAACAGGAUUAGAUACCCUGGUAGUCCACACAGUAAACGAUGAAUACUCGCUGUUUGCGAUAUACAGUAAGCGGCCAAGCGAAAGCAUUAAGUAUUCCACCUGGGGAGUACGCCGGCAACGGUGAAACUCAAAGGAAUUGACGGGGGCCCGCACAAGCGGAGGAACAUGUGGUUUAAUUCGAUGAUACGCGAGGAACCUUACCCGGGCUUAAAUUGCAGUGGAAUGAUGUGGAAACAUGUCAGUGAGCAAUCACCGCUGUGAAGGUGCUGCAUGGUUGUCGUCAGCUCGUGCCGUGAGGUGUCGGCUUAAGUGCCAUAACGAGCGCAACCCUUAUCUUUAGUUACUAACAGGUUAUGCUGAGGACUCUAGAGAGACUGCCGUCGUAAGAUGUGAGGAAGGUGGGGAUGACGUCAAAUCAGCACGGCCCUUACGUCCGGGGCUACACACGUGUUACAAUGGGGGGUACAGAAGGCAGCUAGCGGGUGACCGUAUGCUAAUCCCAAAAGCCUCUCUCAGUUCGGAUCGAAGUCUGCAACCCGACUUCGUGAAGCUGGAUUCGCUAGUAAUCGCGCAUCAGCCACGGCGCGGUGAAUACGUUCCCGGGCCUUGUACACACCGCCCGUCAAGCCAUGGGAGCCGGGGGUACCUGAAGUACGUAACCGCAAGGAUCGUCCUAGGGUAAAACUGGUGACUGGGGCUA